AGGAGGGCCGUGAGUGAUCCUCCUGAGAUCUGUUUUCAUUGGCAGAGGGCUAGCAAAACAAACUAAAAGCAAAACAAAAGGUGAAAUGUUUCCCCUUUGGCAUUUGAGCAUCUAAGAAGGGACAGGAAAGGAGAAAGGGAAAGAGAGAAAAAGAAGGAAAGAUGGGAAGAGAUAAAG
Non-coding RNA from Pseudonaja textilis, 177 nucleotides. The record is from RefSeq and is a predicted model, not a curated record. Lineage: Eukaryota; Metazoa; Chordata; Lepidosauria; Squamata; Elapidae.